This 140-nucleotide small nuclear RNA is filed under the name Triticum aestivum (bread wheat). Its description in RNAcentral is "snRNA U1". It matches the Rfam family "U1 spliceosomal RNA". From Rfam's summary of the family: U1 is a small nuclear RNA (snRNA) component of the spliceosome (involved in pre-mRNA splicing). Its 5' end forms complementary base pairs with the 5' splice junction, thus defining the 5' donor site of an intron. The record is from RNAcentral. Lineage: Eukaryota; Viridiplantae; Streptophyta; Magnoliopsida; Poales; Poaceae.
UUACUUACCUGGACGGGGUCGACGGGCGACCAAGAAGGUCUGCAUUGCACUUGAUGUGUGCAUUGGCCCAUCAUCUUCUCAAGUGGGAGAAUGAACUCAUAAUUUGUGAUAGAGAGGGUACGCGUUCGCGCGGCCCCUGC